GCUGAAGGUCUGGGUAAUGAAGACACCCUCAAGCCACUGGAAAGGGAGCCCUAAGGACUCCUGCCUGAUCCAAUCCACAGCAUGAACAUUGUUGACUGAGAUACAGAUAAGACAGAGGAUUGUCUCAGGUUGAUCCCUUUGUAUAAGAGGGGAAGGAAAAAAAGCCUGCUGCAAAUGAAAAUAACACUUAUGGUUUUGAGAUAAAGAAAAUAGAUAAAGCUAUGGGCUAAGUCCUGAGCAGUGACUUCAGAUGAGAUAUGGAUGCAUGUAACUAGAAAAGAAUUGGCUCCAUAUUCUUUAUUUGACAAAACAGCCAAGACACUAAUUAAAAAUUACAGGAUUUAAUAUUUUGAAAAUUACUGUAUACCCACUGUUGUGAAUGUUGUGCAUGUUGUGAAAAGCAUUAUGGGAAGAGAUGUUAUGCUAAAAGAUUCAUUGAGUCUAACUCACUCCACAGGUAUUGUGCACUCAGAUAAACAUUAUUCAUUUUUCAUAUCAGUGUGUCUCUGUUUGGAGACCUUUCUUUAUGAAGCUGGAUAUGUUAAUUGUAACAAUGGCAGCUAUGGCCCUUUCUGGCUGCAUGUUUGUAAGCUUUAACAAACACUGUUUUUAUUCUCUGAUAAGCAAUCAACCAUGUCACAUGCUACCAAAUUUUGUUGUUGUUGCAAUUCAUCUCACAUUUAGAUGGGCAUGCUUGUGGUAUACAAGAAGAGUUGUGCAACAUUUUUCAGAUGAAUAGCUUGCCAGAAAAUACAGUUACGUGCAACCCCAAACUAACUGUGAAUUUGAUACGAAAUUGCCGAAUAGUUUGGCCACAUUUUUUUCCAGGACUCAGAUGCUGGGCAAUGAUGGAGGAGGACACAUCUUCCUUCUAAUCACUCGGCUAAAAAUUAUAGCACUCAGCUGGGAUGUGGCAGACUGAGGUUCAAUUACCCCUUUUGCCUCAUGUGGAAAAGGAAUUUGAACUUGGGUCUCCCACAUUGCAGUAGAAUGCUCUAACCAGUCAACUAUGGGAUAUUCUGCAAUAGGUUUCUUUUAAUCUGUCCUGCUGAAGCUGUUCCAUAAAUAUAAAGUCACUAAAGCCGGGGGAAUGGAACUGGGUAAGUGCGCUAACCACCAGGCUACAGAGUCACUCUUGCAUUCUCUCUGACCCAAUGACUAUUCAUUGUCAUUAUGAAUUGCCACUUUGAAUGAUUAAAAGUUAUAAGGGAUGGCCACUAUCACCAUCCAGAAAAAAUCAGUUUGGGA
This is a long non-coding RNA of Chelonia mydas (Green sea turtle), 1248 nucleotides long. RefSeq lists it as uncharacterized. The transcript is spliced from 3 exons. The record is from RefSeq and is a predicted model, not a curated record. Lineage: Eukaryota; Metazoa; Chordata; Testudines; Cheloniidae.